RNA transcript from Quercus lobata, 655 nucleotides. It is a transcript of the gene named cyclic nucleotide-gated ion channel 1-like, with no coding region annotated. Lineage: Eukaryota; Viridiplantae; Streptophyta; Magnoliopsida; Fagales; Fagaceae. The transcript is spliced from 4 exons. The record is from RefSeq and is a predicted model, not a curated record.
AAAUGCAUGCUACUUGAGUCUGUGAUCAGGUAUCAAAAUUCAAACUUUUUUUGUAAAGCUCGUUGGGUCGUGUCAACAUAAUUCAGAGGCUGGUUCUUUGUUUUGGAGGUUGGAUCAUCGACUAGCUUUAGGUAUGGGUAAUCAGAGAGAAACGCAAGGGAACGGUGCAAGGUGUUAAUGUCAAACAUACUUUCAGAAAUGAGACGCGCGGAAUAUACAAAUUAUGUAACAAUCUUGAACGCUGUUAUUCUUAUCCAAUAUGUGCCAAGAGUUCUUCAAAUAUACCUAUCCUUGAAGAAACUGGAUGAACAUAAAAAUAUUCCCAUACCGAUCAGAGCUUCAUUCAAUUUCUUUCUAUACGUCCUUGCUGGUUAUGUAUUUGGAGCCUUUUGGUAUUUUUUUCUCAACUCAACGACUGACAUAUUGUUGGCGUAAAGCGUGUUUACAUCAUGGUGAAUGCGUCCAAGGUUCUUUUAACUGUGACCACAGUUUUGGAAAUCUCUCUGUUUCACACGAUUUCUGCCCUAUUGAUUCAACAAAUACAAGAACCUUUGAUUUUGGAAUAUUCCUCGAAGCCCGUCGGUCCGGGAUCUUAGAGUCCACAGAUUUUCCAAAAAAAUUAAUUUACACUGCCUGGUGGGGCUUGCGAAAUUUA